This is a long non-coding RNA of Carassius auratus (goldfish), 457 nucleotides long. RefSeq lists it as uncharacterized. The record is from RefSeq and is a predicted model, not a curated record. NCBI's taxonomy places the organism in Eukaryota, Metazoa, Chordata, Actinopteri, Cypriniformes, Cyprinidae. The transcript is spliced from 3 exons.
GUUUCCUGUGUCCUAGUUCCUGCCUGAGUCUUCCUGUGUCUUCGUCGUCUUGGAUCUUCAAGCUACUCUGUAACAAGUAAUCUGGUCCCUGCGCAGGGGACAGAAUGAGGCCAGCGAGGACGGUGGCGAUGCCGGGGCUUUUGACCGAACCGAGCUAGAGCGCCGGUGGCCAGACGUGGCCAUCCAAUUUCUGCCGUCGUUCAUCACGGAUUCUCGCUGCUGGAUCACCUGAGCCAUGAAUGUCUCGUGACUGAGGAGGAGAAUGAUGUCAUGGUGACAUCACAACAGCACGCUUCACGAGUGACAUCACAGACAGAAGACUGGACCAGUGGACUACUAGACUGAUUAUUCACAUGACACAUUCCCACAGUUAUUAAAGUGAUAGCUCACACAGAAAUUAAAAUCCUGUCAUCACUUACAUAAACAGUUGGUGGUAGCCAUUAGCUUCCACUGUAUU